UUAAAAAAAAUAUUAAUGACUAAUCACCACUUCACCUAUCAAAAUCCUGAUUAUCUCUUCCAACACAAACGAAAGCUGUAUUGGAGCUGGAGACAAGAAAGUGAAGUUGAUAUGUCUAUCAAAAUAUUGACAAUUCGAUAAGUUUCUUAACCUUCCUCUUGUUUCAACAUCUAUUAUGUGAUUAUCUCCGCGUAUAUAUGAAUAUUGUUAUUUGUUGAUAGGGCUGAUUUGCAUUUGAUUAAUAUAAUUUAGUUCAGAGUCUAUGAUCAUUGCUUUUUAGUGAUUAUAGGUUUGAUCUUUCGCACCAUAAUUAGACUCCAUCCGAAGCAAAAUUACAUAUACUACUAAUUAUAUAAUAUAUAUAUAGAAGUAAAACUAUAAGAAUCAAAAAGGUUAGGCGAGAUUACUUCUCUAUUUUGAAGAGAAAACGAAUGGUUAAGUUCAUCCUUUCAGAGAUCCCAUGGCUGCUUGUUUGCUUUGUGUGUGUUUUUGUUUUUUUCAGGGAUAUAUGAAAACUAAAGAAAGCUACCGACGAGACUAGGCUAAUGACUCCACGAUCUUGUACGAGAGAGACAGGAUAGCGGUGGUAGCCGAAGAGGAUGGUGGUGACGGCGGCAGUUUCGAGAUCAGAAUGAGAUCCGUGUGUCGGUUUCAGAAAAGAUGCAUUAAUUGUGCCUUAAUUGCGGCGUUAAUGUUUUGUUAAUUGUGCUUUAAUUGAAGGUUUAAUUGUCUCUUUUAUGAGUUAUGUUUGUGGAAUAUUUUGACCACAAUUAAGUGUCAUUUAUUGACUUGUUUUUAUUUUUAAUUAAUUACUAUUUAAUGUUGGUGCAUUUGAAUUGUUUCCAUAUUAUUUUAUCUUUAGUGUUCGCUAACUAUUUUUAUUUAAUGUUUAUAAUAUCUUGCAGGUUCAAUGUUAAAUAUUGCACUCUGCGGAAUUUUAGAGGUAGCAGAUGGAAAAGGACAUAAGUGUACAAAUCAUUAUAGCAUCGGAGGAUACGAGUUUUAUCUUGUAAUUUCUUUGUAAAGGAUGUAUAUUUGCUUUGUAGGGUACUUUUUUUCCCCCCUUGAGUUUUUUUUUCCAUAGGGUUUUUACUCUUGCGGGGUUUUAACGAAGCCCAAUUGGUGGAUUUUCUUUUCGGACAUUAAAGACCAUAUCGUCUAAGCGUCCGAGAGUACUAGCUUACUCUUCGGUUAGAUGGUAUACUUUUGUGGAUGAAAGAAACUCUGUUCCGUCGGACAUUAUAUCUUUGAUAUUUAGUAUCAAUGAAAAUUUAUUUUCCUUUAAAAAAAAAAAA
This 1295-nucleotide long non-coding RNA is filed under the name Daucus carota (carrot). Its description in RNAcentral is "long non-coding RNA (DCAR_LNC003827)". Lineage: Eukaryota; Viridiplantae; Streptophyta; Magnoliopsida; Apiales; Apiaceae. The record is from RNAcentral.